RNAcentral lists this ribosomal RNA (482 nucleotides) under uncultured Desulfobacterium sp. RNAcentral describes it as "bacterial SSU rRNA". It matches the Rfam family "Bacterial small subunit ribosomal RNA", at positions 901 to 1382 of the family's 1533-position model. The record is from RNAcentral. Lineage: Bacteria; Pseudomonadati; Thermodesulfobacteriota; Desulfobacteria; Desulfobacterales; Desulfobacteriaceae.
UCAAAUGAAUUGACGGGGCCCGCACAAGCGGUGGAGCAUGUGGUUUAAUUCGACGCAACGCGAAGAACCUUACCAGGGCUUGACAUCCCCUGACCGCGUAUGAAAGUACGUUUUCACCCUCGGGUGACAGGGAGACAGGUGGUGCAUGGUUGUCGUCAGCUCGUGUCGUGAGAUGUUGGGUUAAGUCCCGCAACGAGCGCAACCCCUAUCUCUAGUUGCCAGCGAUUCGGUCGGGGACUCUAGAGAUACUGCCCCGGUUAACGGGGAGGAAGGUGGGGAUGACGUCAAGUCCUCAUGGCCCUUACGCCCAGGGCUACACACGUGCUACAAUGGGCGGUACAAAGGGUAGCGAUGCCGCGAGGUGAAGCCAAUCCCAAAAAGCCGUCCACAGUUCGGAUUGGAGUCUGCAACUCGACUCCAUGAAGCCGGAAUCGCUAGUAAUCGUGGAUCAGCAUGCCACGGUGAAUACGUUCCCGGGCCUU